AACAGGAAGUUGAGACUGCCACCUGAACACUUUGGGCUCCUCAUGCCUCUGAAUCAACGGGCAAAGAAGAGAGUUAUAGAUCCUAACCACCCAGGAGAAAUUCGGUGGCCACUACACAAACAGACUUUUCUGACUCUGGGGCCAGGUGUUUGUAUUUAACUCCACGGUGAGGAGACUCAUCUUCUGACGGACCUAGCCUAUUCCAUCAAGGUCAGAGGCAACAAGAAAUGGCAUGCAUUUCAGUUUAUCGUUCUGUGGCUCCAGCUCGUAUAUUUUAACUCUAGAUUUUUUUUUUACUUUUCCCACUUUACAGUCAUCUUCCCUUUCCAACUACCUUCCUUGUGGACUUCAAGCUCCAGCAUCACAAGCAAAGACAAGAACCUUGCAGAAACUAUUUAACUAACUCCCACAAUUGCAUAAGAAGAGUCAUGAUCCUAAGAACAGAAGGGAGAUCCACUCCUGUUGCUUUGACUUCUUGCUGUCCUCCUGCUAUUUGGCUCAAAAUGCAAACUCAGUUAUGAGAAGUACAUAGAAGAACAGGUAAACUAAAGCCCGGGCUUUUUCACCAGAGGAUGUGGAAAAGAGGCUUCAGGAAAUUGAGAAGUAUUAUGGAGAUUGCAAAAAUGAGGGAGCUGAAGAAAGAGUUAGAAUGACAGUGAAUGAGAGAAGAGAGAGAGAUGAAUACCACGAAGUUGCGUAUGUACUGCUGGACUAUACCCUGAACUGAGCAUGUAAACAUCUGACCACAGAUGGUAUAAUAAGGCUUUGAAAACUAAGCUACAAUAAAGACCAUCACCCAGGCCAAAAAUUGCUACUUGGAAAUGCACACACAGACUGAUCCAAAUAGCAUUGAAAAUACUUAAAGAAAUGGUGCAGACAUUGGAGUCACAAUCCAAAGAAGGCAGAUCAGAGUUUGUUCCAUAAGCCUGAAUAGUUCGAUUGCUUAAUAUAAGAAGAAAAUCAACCUUUUUCUUAUGAUUUAAGACAUAAUCAGAGUCUCAUAACAUAUUCUCAAAAUGCCCAGGAUAUAAUUUAAAAUUAUUUGGCAUAUGAGAAACCAGUGUGAUCGUCUCUUAACUCUUAAAGAAAAAGACAAUUAAAAAUAUCACAAUCAAAAUGACAGGAAUGUUGUAUUUAUCAGAUAAAGACAUUAAAGAGAUAUUAUAACCAUGCUCUAACAGGCAAAUGAAAAGACUCAUAAUGAAUAGAAAAAUAGAAAGUCUCAGCAAAGAGAUAGAAUAUAUGAAGAUGAAAAAUGGAAAUUUUAGAACUGGACAAUGUGACAGUCCAAAGAGAAAAUUCACUCGAUGGACUAAAUAGGAUAAUGGAGAUAACAGAGGAAAAGAGGCAGAUGACUUGAAUACCGAUCAUGAUAAAUUAACUAUUUCAAAGAAGAGAGUAAAAAGAGACUUAAAAAAAAAAAUGAACAGAGCCUCUGAGUCCUGUGAAACGAUGUCAAAAAGCCUAAUAUUGGUGUCAUCUGAACCACAGAAGGAGGAAGAAAGUAUGAGAAAAAAUAUCUAAAGAAAAAUAACCAGAAACUUCCUUAAUUUGGCAAAAGAUAAAAUCUUAAAGAUGCCUGAGGAGGCUCAGGAAACUCUAAGGAGAAUAAGCUACAAAAAAUCUACACUCUAAAACUUCUGAAAUUAAAAAACAAAGAAAAAAUUUUUGAAUGCACCCAGAAACUCAAUACAAAUGGAGAAUUCUGAUUUGAAUACUGUAUAUUUUAUAUAAGGAAACAUGGUAGUCAAGGGGAAGUGGAACAACAUUUUUUAAGUGAUGCAAAAAAUGAUUCUAUAUUCAGAAAUCUUUAUCCAGUAAAAAUAUUCUUGAUAAAUGAAAAUCAAAUAAAGAUAUUCCUGAUGAAACU
RNAcentral lists this long non-coding RNA (1870 nucleotides) under Pan troglodytes (chimpanzee). RNAcentral's name for it is "lincRNA". Lineage: Eukaryota; Metazoa; Chordata; Mammalia; Primates; Hominidae. The record is from RNAcentral.